Molecule: non-coding RNA, 638 nt
Organism: Choloepus didactylus (southern two-toed sloth)
Lineage: Eukaryota; Metazoa; Chordata; Mammalia; Pilosa; Megalonychidae
Source: the annotation of a RefSeq genome assembly
GGAAUCACCGCAUAUUGUAUCAAGAGUGAGAUAUCAGGAUGGAGAAAAUGCUGGAAUGUGCAUCAAUAAUCUUGUGGCUUCAGCUUGGCUCGUUGAGUGGAGAAGACCAGGUGGAACAGCAUCCUCAGACCCUGCGAGUCCAGGAGGGAGACAGCCCCAGCCUCAAAUGCAGUUACUCAGUCGGAAAUUUUAAAGGGCUACAGUGGUAUAGGCAAGAUCCUGGGAAAGGCCUCAAACUCCUCUUCCUUCUGUAUUCAGUUGGAGAUGCAAAGCAAAAAGAUGGAAUAAAAGCCACAUUGUCAAACAAGGAAAGUUCCCUGCACAUCGCAGACUCUAAGACUGAGGACUCAGCCUCUUACCUCUGUGCUGUGGAGACACAGUGCCCCACUGGCACCUGCAGCCUGUACCAAAACUUUGCAGUUGGGGCUCUGGAACAGGGGCAGUGGCAUCUCGGUUGGGUGAGCAGUAAACAGGAGGUGAAGCAGAGUCCUCUGGCUCUGAAUGUCCAAGAGGGAGAGACCUUGGUUCUUGACUGCAAUUACAUGAACAGUGCUAUUUACUUCCUUCAGUGGUACCGGCAGGACCCUGGGAAAGGGCUCACAUCUCUGUUGAUAAUUCAGUCAAGUCAAAGGGAGUAA